Molecule: ribosomal RNA, 425 nt
Filed under: uncultured prokaryote
Description: bacterial SSU rRNA
Rfam family: Bacterial small subunit ribosomal RNA
Source: RNAcentral
CAGGGAAUCUUGCACAAUGGACGAAAGUCUGAUGCAGCGACGCCGCGUGGGGGAUGAAGGCCCUAGGGUCGUAAAUCCCUUUCAGUGGGGACGAAAAUGACGGUACCCACAGAAGAAGGUCCGGCCAACUACGUGCCAGCAGCGGCGGUAAGACGUAGCGACCGAGCGUUGUCGGGAAUUAUUGGGCGUAAAGAGCUCGUAGGCGGUAGCGUAAGUCGGAUGAGAAAGCUCAGGGCUCAACCCUGAGACGCCAUCCGAUACUGCGCUGACUUGAAUCCAGUAGGGGAGUGUGGAAUUCCUGGUGUAGCGGUGAAAUGCGCAGAUAUCAGGAGGAACACCUAUGGCGAAGGCAGCACUCUGGGCUGGUAUUGACGCUGAGGAGCGAAAGCAUGGGUAGCAAACAGGAUUAGAUACCCCCGUAGUCC